Long non-coding RNA from Xenopus laevis (African clawed frog), 1118 nucleotides. RefSeq lists it as uncharacterized. NCBI's taxonomy places the organism in Eukaryota, Metazoa, Chordata, Amphibia, Anura, Pipidae. The record is from RefSeq and is a predicted model, not a curated record. The transcript is spliced from 2 exons.
UUCCCAGCCCAGAAAUGUACAAACCCUAGCAUAUAUCUUAAGAGGACUCUGGAGUUUUUUCCCAAUCAGCUAAACUGCGUGGAAAUAAUCUACUUUCACUUUUGAAACGAUGUGACUCUUCUUGUGUUUGCAAUGAAGCAAGCAAGCAAGACUACAGAUCCACCUGGAAUGAACCCUUUGCUGACUCCUGGGGGCCUCCAUCCAGUUUUCAACUUUACAUUUAUGAAAAUAAUGACAUUUAGCAGAGAUUUCUCCCUGUCACGUGCAAACCCCAUAUUACAAAUUGUCCCUUGUUCAUUGCGUUUUAUUCUUUAUCUUUAUCAUCAUCUGCAGUAGUAGUGGGUGCAGUGGAUUCCUCCCCAGCGUCGGGGGUCUGGUCACUUUCCUCCUUGUGUUCUUUCUUCCAUUUCAUUCUCCUGUUCUGGAACCAGAUUUUGAUCUGCCUUUCAGUCAGACACAGGGCGUGUGCGAUUUCUAUUCUCCUCCUGCGGGUUAGGUAGCGAUUAAAGUGAAAUUCUUUCUCCAGCUCUAGAGUCUGGUAACGGGUGUAAGUCUGGCGACCCCUCUUCCUGUCCGGACCUAAAGGUUUUAGAGACAACACUGGGUAUUAAGAGCAAUCGGCCAUUUAAAUAAACUUUGUGUUAUAGUGACUGUGUUCCCUUUCACUUAAAUCCAUUAAAUUCCCCAUUAUUAAUACAUGAGGCCUGAUCCACUGCCUGGAUAUUCUAUAGUCCUGCAUCCAUUCUUCUAUGAAAUGCUUUUACUACUGUAUUAAGUCUAUCUGUAACUAAAUACACAUCUAUGCAAAUCAUGGGUUGAUGUUCUAGGGCUUCUAAUAAUGAAGCAUUUCCCCCUUUUUUCCCUUUGUACUGGAGUAAUUCAUGAUAGAUGAGAAUAAAAAAAGAAACGCCCAUUAAGUCCCCCCCCCUCUUGUCCAAGAAAAUAUUGCCUAAAUUGUCUAGAAUCCUCUAUGAUUAUAGAAAUAUAUAUGUAUAUAGACAUGUGGAUAUAUUUUUUGUUUUAUCAAAGUUUUCUUCUGCACUUUAAUACCUAUAUUUUCAAGCAUUUACUAAUAAAAAUCCAUGGUUCACAUUUAGUGAGGCCCCUGUAUUCCCUAA